Panicum virgatum (switchgrass) is the source of this 4104-nucleotide long non-coding RNA. RefSeq lists it as uncharacterized. The record is from RefSeq and is a predicted model, not a curated record. NCBI's taxonomy places the organism in Eukaryota, Viridiplantae, Streptophyta, Magnoliopsida, Poales, Poaceae. The transcript has 7 exons.
CUUCUUUUCCCUGUGCGCCGCCGCUUUCCCCCAAGAACAGAGAGGAGAGGAGAAGAGGUGGAAGCAGAAGGAGGAGUGCGGGAGCCGAGCUCGCCGAGGGGCUGGGCCACGUGUCGCCACCCCUGGAGAAGGAGCCGCCGAGGAGGACGCCGCCGCUGGGAGCUCGAUGCCACUACCGAGCUCGCCGAGGGACAGAACGCCGCGGCCGGCACCCGACGCCGCUGCCGCACCAGGAGCCCGCCAAGGAGAAGCAGCGCCGCCGUCGGACCUUCGCCAUCAAGCCAGCGCCCGUACGACUACGUCGGCGUAGCUGCGCGGCCUGCACUGCACCAAGACGCCACGGCCUCGCCUCGUCCCAGCCUCGCCCCAUUCUUCGUCGAGCCGUCCGACCCUUAGCGAGGAGGAGCUGAUCGACGCCCCGGACGCCCAGAGGACCCGGGAGGACGUCCCGAACAACGGGAAGACUCUGAAGUCUCAGGUUCAUGCCCAUCUAUGAUUUGAUUACCUAUUAGACAUUGCUUGCUAGAACUGCUAUCGCUUUAUUACUGUUAUGAGAUGAACCUGCAUAGCCAAUUGUGUGCCCUUAUUCCUUGAACUCCUAAUAUAAACCAUGUUUGAAUGGUUGAUAUGCUUGCAUGUGUAUGUGUGGGAUUUCCUCGUGUUAUGAUAGUCUUGGCGUGUGUGGAGAUCCACCAUAUCAGGAGUUGGUGACUAGGGCUUUUAGCAGGGGGCGAGCAAGUUGACUUUGCUGGGGGUGUGUGUUGGGCACACCCUGCGAGCACCUGUUGCGGGUGCAUGUUUGUGUCAUUGGACACGGUUAGACUCUGGAGGUGUUUUGUGGGCCUUACCUGUAAUGGGUGCCAGUCGUGGACCGCUGUGGCGGAUACGCAUGAGGACGGAGAUGCUCGCCCCGGCAUAUAAGGAACCGGUUGGUGUAACUAUGAUUAGUGGGACUUUGUGAGCAUGCACACCACUUAUCAACUAUUCGGGUGGAUCCGGUCCGAGGCUAGUAAGCGUGGUGCCAAGCCUGUAGGCGGAUGUAGUAUCGGUGCAGGGGAAGCAGGUGUGGACCUAACGUUCCCCGAUUCGCGGGAUUCAUGGGAAUCCUAUUCUAGAUGGCUUCACAGUCCCGGGGCGACCUCUUGCGAGAGAACGCGCCCAAUCCUGGGAAAGCAGGAUGGUGCCAUGGCUGCUAGAUCUUGUUCUCAGUAGACCGCUGCCUCGGAGUCAGUCGGAGUUGUCUGCUGGCUGGUGACGGGGCGAGUGGGUACUGGUGUACAACCCCUGCAGGGUGAAAACUAUAUGUAUAGCCGCGUACUCGGUCAUGUGCAUUCCUACUCUUCUGUUACUUCCAUUAGUUAGUGUGACUUCAUACUUUAAUACCUCCCUCUAGCCUACUUUGCUGCUUGGAUAGCAGCUGAGGUGUGAGGAGAGGGAGUUCUCGCACCGACUUGGUUAUCAGGGACUUAGGUGAGUCUCAGAGGUGUGAGUUGACCGGGAGUCCGGGAUGCCGGAAUGGCCCGCGUCUGGUGACUUGGCAGAUGCUAUACUUUGUUGAUGCUACGCAUAGGAAACCCUAGCCUUAUCCGUUGACUAUUUCUUAUAUCAUAAUGCAUCCACUUAAAGCUUGCAUACGGAUGGUGACGUGAACCUAUCCCAUCCUUGGGGAUAGUUUGGUAGAUGUAGAAUCCGACUCGAAGAUCGACGAUGACUUUAAAGGAAGGACUAAGGACGACUCGUGCUUCACUCAAGUUUGCCUGUGGAUGAAAAAAAAUGUCAAGAUGAAGGAUGUCCCGGAAGUCUAGCUACCGCUUUCAUUUUCUGGUUGUUCCUUUUUUGCCCAAUGGGCUUGUACCAUAUGAUUUCGUACCACAAUCUGCUGGAUUAUGUAAUAAUUAAACCUUUGUUGUGUUUUAUCGCGAAGUAUGACUGUGAUAUGUAAUUGAAAUGAGUUCUGUAUGUGAUAGCUACUGAUCCAGGGACUAUCACGACGAUACAGGGAAUCGGGUUGUCCGUUCGACAACCCGGUUCGUUUCAUGCGGGGCAUAUCCUCGAGGCAUAGCCGGAAGAAUGUGGACUCAUGGCAAUCCGACGCCGCCUCGCACCACACGAGGCAGAGAUAUAAGGAAGGGCUCAUCCAGAAAGGGAGAGAUGAGGCAAUGGAAGACAUUGCCAUGGGGAAGAUACAAGAGGCGUUCAUGAGCAACGACCCCAAGAUGAUGGAGCUGAGGAAGAAGAUGUUCCUCCAGGUUGGCGUGUUGCCACAACAGCCGGCCGGUACCUCACAACCCCAGAGGUUCCCAGUCGAUGAGAUCACAGAGGAAACAUUGGCCGUCCUCCAAAUGCCCUUUUGUAGGGCAGGGAGGAAGAAUGAUGUAGCGCAUGGAUUAGUACAACCGCGACUCUGAAGCCAGGUACAACGGGCAGCCUAUCCCGCCCGAUUACGCUGUGGUGAACAUUGCAUGGGUGGCCGAAGAACACAAAAGGUUGAACUUGACUAUCCCCUUGAAUGCGGAAACACAACCAUCAGCCAUGCUUUAGGCCUUAUCGUGCUAUGGAACAAGGCAGAUAUUGUCUUAAUGGAGAAGAUGACGUCGAAACCAACGCAACCAUCGCCAUCUCCCCCAGGUAGCCCAAGUGACGAUGACAAUGCUGGUGGCUCAGGUAGCAAUCCUCGACGUAGCCCGCCCCCCGACAAGAACGACCCACAAGGAGAUAUAGGGGGUGCACCGGGCAAUGAUACACCGCCUCCAAGUGGUCCAAAGGGCACCAAGCAAUGUCCUGCUGCGCCGAAGAAGCAUAUAGUAGAAGAUGAGGACAAACCGCCCCACCUUACUACAGAGCAAUGGGCCGCAUACCAAAUAGCAGAAGACUUCACCUACACAACAGCGUUUGAUAGGGAACCAACACCGCUGGAAGUCUGGCCCCUUUCUCCUGAUUGCCCUGAUAACUACGAGCAUGGCAAGUUUAUGUUGCCCUUGGGCCAGCUUGUCCAGGAGGAGUCAUGGGAGGUUCGGAGGUUCCAUCUAUGGUACAUGCAUGCUGCGAAGUUAGGCAUGAGGGAAUUCAUUGUCAGGGCCUCGAAGGAGUACUUCCACUUGGAGGACGAUUGUUAUUUCACCAUCGACUUCCAUGACAUGCAUAGGCUGCUGCGCCGCAAGGACCUUGGCAUCGUGCAAGUCACCCUUUAUGCCAUGAUGCAAGCAUAUGCUACCCAGCAACUAGGGGAAGAUAUUAUCUACCUAUCUCCUAUGCAUAUUACCCAAAGGGCCAUUAGUGGAUACGAUAUACCAGACACGCACCCAAAGUUAGUGAAUUUGACCGGUCUACAGCGAGUGGAGGUCCGAGUUAAAAUGUGAGGCGAGAUGUUGUAUAGAAAAGGACAAUACAUCUUAGAAGCCAUGAAGAAGGUUCGGGGCAAUGGGUGUAACCUUGCCGCGCACCAAUUCGGCGGGGGAAUCAUGGGCCACUGGGUUGUAUUUGUCAUCUAUCCUCAGGAUGGAAAGGCUGUCAUAUUCGAUUCCUUGCGCCAUACGCACAAUGACGCGUAUAAGGAUUUCGAAUACUGUCUGCGAUAUGCUUACAGGAAAUACGCGGAAGACCCCGAUUGCUAUGAUUAGAGGUCCGAGAAAAACAAGCAGAAGAAUGGCACAAUAUUGUGCCUCAAGCGAGAUUUUCCAUGCGCGAAGCAACCUGCAAACUCAGUAUUGUGUGGAUACUAUGCUUGUGCAUACCUCAUGACUGCCGGAUGUUACAACAGAAGCUGGCGAUAGCUCAAGAAAUCUGUAGCAUGGUGGCACAGGUCAAGGGUGGACAAGUAUGUCAUCAACCAAAUAAUAUCUGACAUUUGUAAGUUUGUCACUGAUGAAUGUUGUCAUGUUGGGGGUCUCGCCUUCUAUGACGAGAGCGAUCUAGCAACGGACGACAAGUUCGUGAGGCUACGCAACUGGAGAACCCAACUUAACAUGAAGGACUACAAGUUGCCGGAACUCGAUUAGAUGCCUUUAGCUUUUGUAAUCAUUUGAACGCAAAUGUCGAAUUGAUGUAUAUACAUUUGUGAAUGGAUGUAAUAUACUUGUUGAACAUGUACUAUGCAAAAUCGGA